AUCUACAGCCAUACCACCCUGAACGUGCUCGAUCUCGUCUGAUCUCGGAAGCUAAGCAGGGUCGGGCCUGGUUAGUACUUGGAUGGGAGACCGCCUGGGAAUAGCGGGUGCUGUAGGCU
Ribosomal RNA from Loxodonta africana (African savanna elephant), 119 nucleotides. NCBI's taxonomy places the organism in Eukaryota, Metazoa, Chordata, Mammalia, Proboscidea, Elephantidae. The record is from Ensembl.